Molecule: small RNA, 121 nt
Filed under: Marmota monax (woodchuck)
Lineage: Eukaryota; Metazoa; Chordata; Mammalia; Rodentia; Sciuridae
Source: RNAcentral
GCCAGGCACAGUGGUGUACACCUGUAAUUCCAGCUGCUCAGGAGGCUGAGAUGGGAGGAUCAGGAGUUUAAAGCCAGCCUUAUCAAUGGUGAGGCACUAAGCAACUGAGACCCUGUCUCUA